This 616-nucleotide long non-coding RNA is filed under the name Heterocephalus glaber (naked mole-rat). RNAcentral describes it as "lncRNA (ENSHGLG00100037085.1)". Lineage: Eukaryota; Metazoa; Chordata; Mammalia; Rodentia; Bathyergidae. The record is from RNAcentral.
CCCGGUACCAAAAAAAAAAAAAGAAUUACUGCUCAGAGCAGCCAUUUUUACAGCUGCUUUUUUGGGUUGUCAUCAUCUUUGUUUCCUAGGUAUUUACUUCUAUAGCUCUAAAUAACACUAUCAGACUUCUGGGAAGAUGGCAAAGUGGUAAGCAGUAAGAAUGGUAAGUAACAAGUCAACCUCUCCAAGAUUCAGAAUCCAGUACCAGAAAAUAACAACUUGGGGAAGAAAAGAAAGAGGGAGGUGGCUCCCCAGGGGCCCAGGAAUGAUCUGAAGGGAAUAUUGGAGCCCACAGAAAAAGUGAAGGAACAGACUUCAAUGCAGAAAAAAGAAGGGCCAAUUUGCAGAUUCUCCCUGGCUCCUGGCUCACAGCAUGAAAGAAGAGGAUCAAAUCUACAGAGAAACAAUGAAAGCAAUAACCUCAGAGGCUCCAGGGAGAAAUGCACCAGUGGAAUGGACCCAUGGAUGCUGGGCACUACAACAGCUGGGAUCAAACUUGGGUCCUUGUGCUUGCACAGCGAGUGGCGAAACCACUGAACUAAAUCCCCGGCCCUCAACAGGAAGAUUUAUGACAAGAACCCAGGGGCUCUGCCUACAUCACUAAAAAUGCCCUCGC